AACGAACGCUGGCGGCAUGCCUAACACAUGCAAGUCGAACGAGACCUUCGGGUCUAGUGGCGCACGGGUGCGUAACGCGUGGGAACCUGCCCUUAGGUUCGGAAUAACUCCCCGAAAGGGGUGCUAAUACCGGAUAAUGUCUUCGGACCAAAGAUUUAUCGCCUUUGGAUGGGCCCGCGUUGGAUUAGCUAGUUGGUAGGGUAAAAGCCUACCAAGGCGACGAUCCAUAGCUGGUCUGAGAGGAUGAUCAGCCACACUGGGACUGAGACACGGCCCAGACUCCUACGGGAGGCAGCAAGGGGGAAAAAUGGGCCAUGGGCGGAAGCCUGAUCCAGCAAUGCCGGGUGAGUGAUGAAGGCCUUAGGGUUGUAAAGCUCUUUUACCCGGGAUGAUAAUGACAGUACCGGGAGAAUAAGCUCCGGCUAACUCCGU
RNAcentral lists this ribosomal RNA (432 nucleotides) under uncultured bacterium. RNAcentral's name for it is "partial 16S ribosomal RNA". It matches the Rfam family "Bacterial small subunit ribosomal RNA", at positions 29 to 506 of the family's 1533-position model. The record is from RNAcentral.